CCUACGGGAGGCAGCAGUGGGGAAUCUUGCACAAUGGGGGAAACCCUGAUGCAGCGAUGCCGCGUGAGUGAAGAAGGCCCUUGGGUUGUAAAACUCUUUCGUCGGGGAAGAAAAUGACUGUACCCGAAUAAGAAGGUCCGGCUAACUUCGUGCCAGCAGCCGCGGUAAUACGAAGGGACCUAGCGUAGUUCGGAAUUACUGGGCUUAAAGAGCUCGUAGGUGGUUAAAAAAGUUGAUGGUGAAAUCCCAAGGCUCAACCUUGGAACUGCCAUCAAAACUUUUUAGCUAGAGUGUGAUAGAGGUAAGUGGAAUUUCUAGUGUAGAGGUGAAAUUCGUAGAUAUUAGAAAGAACACCAAAUGCGAAGGCAACUUACUGGGUCACUACUGACACUGAGGAACGAAAGCAUGGGUAGCGAAGAGGAUUAGAUACCCUCGUAGUCCAUGCCGUAAACGAUGUGUGCUAGACGUUGGAAAUAUAUUUUUCAGUGUCGCAGCGAAAGCAUUAAGCACACCGCCUGGGGAGUACGACCGCAAGGUUAAAACUC
This 545-nucleotide ribosomal RNA is filed under the name uncultured bacterium. RNAcentral describes it as "bacterial SSU rRNA". It matches the Rfam family "Bacterial small subunit ribosomal RNA", at positions 338 to 902 of the family's 1533-position model. The record is from RNAcentral.